CUACGGUAGGCAGCAGUGGGGAAUAUUGGACAAUGGGCGAAAGCCUGAUCCAGCAAUGCCGUGUGUGUGAAGAAGGCCUGCGGGUUGUAAAGCACUUUAAGUUGGGAAGAAAAGCGGGUGGUUAAUACCCAUCCGUGUUGACGUUACCGACAGAAUAAGCACCGGCUAACUCUGUGCCAGCAGCCGCGGUAAUACAGAGGGUGCAAGCGUUAAUCGGAAUUACUGGGCGUAAAGGGUGCGUAGGCGGUCUCUUAAGUCGGAUGUGAAAUCCUUGGGCUCAACCUAAGAAUUGCAUACGAUACUGAAAGACUUGAGUACAGUAGAGGAUAGUGGAAUUCCACGUGUAGCGGUGAAAUGCGUAGAUAUGUGGAGGAACACCAGUGGCGAAGGCGGCUAUCUGGACUGAUACUGACGCUGAGGCACGAAAGCGUGGGGAGCAAACAGGAUUAGAUACCCGUGUAGUCG
This 465-nucleotide ribosomal RNA is filed under the name uncultured bacterium. Its description in RNAcentral is "bacterial SSU rRNA". It matches the Rfam family "Bacterial small subunit ribosomal RNA", at positions 339 to 796 of the family's 1533-position model. The record is from RNAcentral.